Oryza sativa Japonica Group (Japanese rice) is the source of this 928-nucleotide non-coding RNA. Lineage: Eukaryota; Viridiplantae; Streptophyta; Magnoliopsida; Poales; Poaceae. The record is from RefSeq and is a predicted model, not a curated record.
CGCGUGGACGCCCAGUUCUGCAUCUCUAGCUUUCUCCUCCUCCCAGUUGCAUCGCCACACAUCACUCACCACCCGUGAGCCAAAGAAACCGAGAGGGAGAGCUCCAGCUCUCCUCUUCCCUCUCCUCUUCGUUGCCGGCCGCCAGGAAGAAGGACGCCGCAACCCAUCGUCGAGACAUCGCCAACACCAAAUAUUUCCCGUUCCGUAUUCUAAUCUUCAUGCCGAACAAGUUUCCUUUUGACACCAUCUCAUUUCAUCCACUGCAGCGACGGGAACGCCAUCGUGCCCACGGGAGCUCCAGAGCGCGCCCGGAGCGCCGCCGCCACGACCUCGUCGCUGUCCCGGCUUCUGUGGAGCGAAUCCGGUCGAGCCGUCGCGCUAACAUCUUCCCCUCGAGGUCCUCUCCAAAUGCCCUCAAGAAUCCCCAAGAUCUGAGCACUGAGGAGAGAGAUCGAGCUAUUCUUCUCCAACUCCGGCCGCCGAGCUCCAUCUUUGAUUCUUCUUUCUCCGUGAGUCAAGCCGACGCCGUUCAUCGAGAAGGAGCGCCGUCGCCGAGCCGUUCCGAACGCCGUCGUCGACGACCAAGCUUCGCCAACCUCAUCCAAUACUACUGUUAGACUUAGUCUUCUUGAGUGGUGCGGGUUUCGAUUGCUUUUUCUAGGACUUGAACUUAAUGGGGUAAACCCUUAAUCGGUGUGCUUGUGGUUGGGUAGUCAAGCUUCCGCUGUUCUCUGUUAUCUAUCUAUAUUUGGUCGGUCGGCCUAUGUAACUAUAAAGUAGUUGUAAAUUUGAAUCGCUUUCGUCUUAUUUGUAUUUGCUAUGCAUAACCAUGCUUAAGAAGAAAGUGUGAAUCUAGUACAUAUCCUAGGAACAAGAUUCAUAUGAGUAUGAGUUAAGGAUAUUUGAGGUAUCGUAGAUCUUUAGCCCA